AAAUAAUUUAUAUAACAUAUUAAAACAAAAUUACGUACGUACAAUAACAGCAACAACCCAGACAACAACAUCAACAACAGCGACAGCUACACCAUUAUCGGUUAUCAUGGCACAUUUUUACUGUUUAUCACUGCACACUUCAACUUUAUUAAUUAUUACAUACAGCGCAAAUUAGUUAUCACUGCACACUAAAACCAGGCAAGACCCUUACAGGUUCGUUUAGAUUAUACUUCCUUUAGUUACGAUUACUAGCAGGGACCGAAAAUUGCACAACAAAAAAUGCUUAUCAUGAAAAUGGCGAUUAUCAGCCAAACACCAAAAAAAAGAGCAAUCGCCCAGGUUUUAAGUGGGCGGCCCCCUCGUCCUGAUACAGAAAAACCACCCCCGCCCCCUCUCC
This is a non-coding RNA of Paramuricea clavata, 397 nucleotides long. The record is from the annotation of a GenBank genome assembly. NCBI's taxonomy places the organism in Eukaryota, Metazoa, Cnidaria, Anthozoa, Malacalcyonacea, Plexauridae.